AGGACGAACGCUGGCGGCGUGCCUAACACAUGCAAGUCGAGCGAUGAAGCUUCUUCGGAAGUGGAUUAGCGGCGGACGGGUGAGUAACACGUGGGUAACCUGCCUCAUAGUGGGAAUAGCCUUUACGAAAGGAAGAUUAAUACCGCAUAAGAUUGUAAUAUCGCAUGAUAUAGCAAUUAAAGGAGUAAUCCGCUAUGAGAUGGACCCGCGUCGCAUUAGCUAGUUGGUGAGGUAACGGCUCACCAAGGCGACGAUGCGUAGCCGACCUGAGAGGGUGAACGGCCACAUUGGGACUGAGAUACGGCCCAGACUCCUACGGGAGGCAGCAGUGGGGAAUAUUGGGCAAUGGGCGAAAGCCUGACCCAGCAACGCCGCGUGAAGGAAGAAGGCCUUCGGGUUGUAAACUUCUUUUAAGAGGGACGAAGGACGUGACGGUACCUCUUGAAUAAGCCACGGCUAACUACGUG
This 467-nucleotide ribosomal RNA is filed under the name uncultured bacterium. Its description in RNAcentral is "bacterial SSU rRNA". It matches the Rfam family "Bacterial small subunit ribosomal RNA", at positions 26 to 507 of the family's 1533-position model. The record is from RNAcentral.